Molecule: long non-coding RNA, 620 nt
Organism: Chroicocephalus ridibundus (black-headed gull)
Lineage: Eukaryota; Metazoa; Chordata; Aves; Charadriiformes; Laridae
Exons: 5
Source: RefSeq, a predicted model, not a curated record
UGGCGGCGGCUUGGCUGCCUCCUUCCUCCGCUGUGUGCUCCUGUGCUUCAACCACCACGGAGCAUCACUUCUAGAGGCCUAGAGUGUGAUAUUUGACAUCUGUCAAGUUGAAGGUCCUGCACAAGAGUGGAAGUUAUUUUACCAAAAAUCAAGUGUUACAGAAAUAAUUGAUUUCCAAGUGCAUGGUCAUGUUUAUGAAGUCUUGAGAAGACCAUUUUCAUUAAUUUCUGUUCCAGAAGGCAGCUGUACAUAUUUAAGUUUUAAAAAAAAAAAAAGUGUGAAGAAAACAGACAGGAAGAAGCAAAACCAGUUAAAGUAGAAGAGAUUAAGUGGGUAUGACAGAAGAACAACUUUAUACUGUUGACUACUCAACAUCAGGUUUGAUGAGAGCAGGGUGAUUGCUGUGCUCGUGUUCUAGCAGAAGGAGUUUUGGAGACUUGCGUCCUUUCUCGAAGAGAAACUGUGCUGUUUUGCCAGCCUUGAAGCUGAUAAAUACGUUAACAAGUGAACUAAUGCAAGGCCUUGAACCACAGUGAAGGUGCAACUGUAUCGGCUACCACCAUCCUCAGCAGUUUGUGAAGUUGAUAAGCCUCCUACAAAAGACUGAAGAGAAUCACGUG